AAGACCGGGUGCAAACCCGGAACUGGGGCGCGGCCUGGGCACCCCGGCGUCACUCGCCCCCGAAACGGUGUCCUUUUCGGAAGCUUUCUUCCCAGGAGAUCAGCGGACAAAGAGCAGGAAAAGCAGAAAACAAGUCCCUAAGAAAGGAUCAAGACUGGGCAGAGAACAAUGGAAGACCUUCAUGACUGCUGACCAAAUGUGUGCCAAAUGGCAAUGAGUGACACAGACACAGUCAAGAGGAUGACCUCUGCAGGCCUAGAAGGGCAGCUGUGGCUUCUGGGCAGGGGCAGCCUGAAAUGGACCUUGGAGAAUGGCUGGGCUUUAGCUUCAUGCCAAGGAGGAGGAAAAGGGGUGCUUCUGCCAGUGGUGUGAGCCUACCCAUGGUUGUUUCUUUUCAGUCAGCUCUGUGGGUACUCUUGGGCAAGUCCCUUUUCAUUUCUACGACUACAGUAGACAGAAUAGUGCCCCCUUGAGAUGUCCACCUCCCAAUCCCCACAACCUCUAAAUAUAUUACCUGACAUGGCAAAAGGGACUUAGAUCUUGCAGAGCCUAUGCUCCUGUAGGGAGAUUAUCCUGGAUGGUCCAGGUGGGCCCAGUGUAAUGACAUGAGUCCUCAUAAGGGAAAGAGGGAAGCAGGAGAGAGUCAGAGUCAGAGAAGGAGGUGUGACAGCAGAAGCAGAGGUCAGAGAGAGAGGUGUGAAGAUACUGCGCUACUGGCCUUGAAUACAAAGGGGCCAUGAGCCAAGAAAUGCAGGUGGCCUCUGGAAGCUAAAAAAGGCAAAGAAUUGGAUUCUCCCCUAGAGCCUCCAGAAGGAAUGCAGCCCUGCUGGUACUUCAAGUUUAGGACUUCUUACCUCCAGAACUAUAAUAAUAAAUCUGUUGUUUUAAG
Molecule: long non-coding RNA, 889 nt
Filed under: Pan troglodytes (chimpanzee)
Lineage: Eukaryota; Metazoa; Chordata; Mammalia; Primates; Hominidae
Description: long non-coding RNA NONPTRT002387
Source: RNAcentral